This 435-nucleotide ribosomal RNA is filed under the name uncultured bacterium. RNAcentral describes it as "bacterial SSU rRNA". It matches the Rfam family "Bacterial small subunit ribosomal RNA", at positions 356 to 773 of the family's 1533-position model. The record is from RNAcentral.
GGGGAAUCUUGCACAAUGGGCGAAAGCCUGAUGCAGCGACGCCGCGUGGGGGAUGAAGCUUUUCGGAGUGUAAACCCCUGUUGCCCGGGGCGAACAUCCUGUUUCGACGGGACUGACGGUACCGGGUGAGGAAGCACCGGCUACCUCCGUGCCAGCAGCCGCGGUAAUACGGAGGGUGCGAGCGUUGUCCGGAAUCACUGGGCGUAAAGGGCGCGUAGGUGGCCGAGCAAGGUCGCGGUGAAAGCCCGGGGCUCAACCCCGGGUCGGCCGUGGCAACUAUUUGGCUUGAGCACUGUAGGGGCGGGUGGAAUUCCGGGUGUAGCGGUGGAAUGCGUAGAGAUCCGGAAGAACACCGGUGGCGAAGGCGGCCCGCUGGGCAGGAAGGGGGAGCAAUCCUCCGGCUGACACUGAGGCGCGACAGCGUGGGGAGCAAAC